GACGAACGCUGGCGGCGUGCUUAACACAUGCAAGUCGAACGGUAAGGCCCUUCGGGGUACACGAGUGGCGAACGGGUGAGUAACACGUGGGUGAUCUGCCCUGCACUUCGGGAUAAGCCUGGGAAACUGGGUCUAAUACCGGAUAGGACUCCGGACUGCAUGGUCUGGGGUGGAAAGUUUUUGCGGUGUGGGAUGGGCCCGCGGCCUAUCAGCUUGUUGGUGGGGUGAUGGCCUACCAAGGCGACGACGGGUAGCCGGCCUGAGAGGGUGACCGGCCACACUGGGACUGAGAUACGGCCCAGACUCCUACGGGAGGCAGCAGUGGGGAAUAUUGCACAAUGGGCGCAAGCCUGGUGCAGCGACGCCGCGUGAGGGAUGACGGCCUUCGGGUUGUAAACCUCUUUCAGCAUCGACGAAGCGAAAGUGACGGUAGGUGCAGAAGAAGGACCGGCCAACUACGUGCCAGCAGCCGCCGUAA
Molecule: ribosomal RNA, 478 nt
Filed under: uncultured bacterium
Lineage: Bacteria
Description: partial 16S ribosomal RNA
Rfam family: Bacterial small subunit ribosomal RNA
Source: RNAcentral